CUGUCUUCAGAUACGCAGAGGCAUUUAUUACAAGGAGGGAAGGGCUGCCUAUUUCCUUAGACUGCAGGAAGAGAAAGUUCGACUGGAAUCGCAGAGGAAGGCCUGCGUGCCGAGUCUCCCUCAGAGCGCCUGGCAGAGAGGAGGCGCCCUCGUGGAAAAUCCAGGACUGCCCGUCCUUGAGUGGAAGUUCUGGAAGUUGAGGCCUCAACGACCUUUGAGGCAGAGGGUCCUGGUAUCUGUUUUAGACAAGGCCAGAGGUUUUGCCUGGCUGCUGGCAGCAGGGACACUGUGUCUGCAGCUAAGAGGGAUGGUGGGACCCUCGGCCUCCCUGCUCCUCUGCCUGUGCCUCUCACCCAGUGUCUUUUAAACAUAGACGAAUUUAACCAGGAUGCUUUUUCUCCUCUGGACUUCUUUGUUUUAAAUUGGGCUCCUCCAGUAAAUCUAGCUCCUCAGUCAAGUCUUGGGUGAUGGGUUCUCCGUGCUUUUCAUUCUGCAGACUCUUCUGGAGGGUGGAGACCUUCUGAGAAUCGGCUCUUCCAUAAGGCGCUGUCCUCUCAUGCCCCACCUUUGACUCGCCGUUUGGUAGCCUUGCUCUGCUGGACCACGUCCCGGUUGGAGGCACGGAGCAGCAGAGGCCAGAGAGCAGGCUGCCUGGAUGCCCUUGCUCCUGGCUAGCAGACACAGCCUUGGACCACUGUAACCACAGGCCCUGUAGGACCAGCUCAAGCUGACCCAAUCUUAUCGCCAGAAGGUUUUUCAGGGGCAAGCCAAAAAUUUGCAAGUCAUAUAACCAGAGCAUGUGCGGAGGAGAAAAUCUUGAUCUGAAAUGACCCCGGAACCAAAGAUUCUCCACCACGGAACCAAAGGACUGGGAUGCGACGGGAACUUGAGAGUCGGACUCUUAUCAGAAGCGAGGAGUCCCUUGUCAGGGAAGAUCCGGUGUUAAAGCCUCUUCCACACCUUGCCAUAAAUGUUUAAAACCUUGCCAUAAACAUUUAAAGCCUUCCUAUAAAACGUUUAAAGCCCUCCAAUCGAAACUGCCCGCCAGCGCUUCCGUAUGCCAGCCUGUUCUCCCUAAUGUCUUCAAUUUUGCCCCAAACUCUGGAUCAGGGAGACAGAUUUGAGAAUGUUGCCUCCUGUCUCCUUGCUAGUCGACUUCAAAAUAAAGCUUUAUUCUUUUUGCAAAA
Molecule: long non-coding RNA, 1187 nt
Filed under: Equus caballus (horse)
Lineage: Eukaryota; Metazoa; Chordata; Mammalia; Perissodactyla; Equidae
Description: lncRNA (ENSECAG00000046357.1)
Source: RNAcentral